GAUGAAGAACGCAGCGAAAUGCGAUACGUAAUGUGAAUUGCAGAAUUCAGUGAAUCAUCGAGUCUUUGAACGCACAUUGCGCCCCCUGGCAUUCCGGGGGGCAUGCCUGUCCGAGCGUCAUUGCUGCCCUCAAGCACGGCUUGUGUGUUGGGCCUCCGUCCUCCUCCCGGGGGACGGGCCCGAAAGGCAGCGGCGGCACCGCGUCCGGUCCUCGAGCGUAUGGGGCUUCGUCACCCGCUCUUGUAGGCCCGGCCGGCGCUUGCCGACACAUCAAUCUUUUUUCCAGGUUGACCUCGGAUCAGGUAGGGAUACCCGCUGAACUUAAGCAUAUCAAUAAGCGGAGGA
This 345-nucleotide unclassified non-coding RNA is filed under the name soil metagenome. RNAcentral describes it as "partial contains 5.8S ribosomal RNA, internal transcribed spacer 2, and large subunit ribosomal RNA". The stretch from base 1 to 120 matches the Rfam family "5.8S ribosomal RNA", at positions 35 to 154 of the family's 154-position model. The record is from RNAcentral.